AUUUAAAUAGUUUAUGAUAAAAUAAGAGUUUGUGGGACUUUAGAAAUUUAUUGAUUUUAAAUA
This 63-nucleotide transfer RNA is filed under the name Coleoptera sp. 22 KM-2017. Its description in RNAcentral is "tRNA-His". Lineage: Eukaryota; Metazoa; Arthropoda; Insecta; Coleoptera. The record is from RNAcentral.